GACGAACGCUGGCGGCGUGCUUAACACAUGCAAGUCGAACGGAAAGGCCCUGCUUUUGUGGGGUGCUCGAGUGGCGAACGGGUGAGUAACACGUGAGUAACCUGCCCUUGACUUUGGGAUAACUUCAGGAAACUGGGGCUAAUACCGGAUAGGAGCUCCUGCUGCAUGGUGGGGGUUGGAAAGUUUCGGCGGUUGGGGAUGGACUCGCGGCUUAUCAGCUUGUUGGUGGGGUAGUGGCUUACCAAGGCUUUGACGGGUAGCCGGCCUGAGAGGGUGACCGGCCACAUUGGGACUGAGAUACGGCCCAGACUCGUACGGGAGGCAGCAGUGGGGAAUAUUGCACAAUGGGCGGAAGCCUGAUGCAGCAACGCCGCGUGCGGGAUGACGGCCUUCGGGUUGUAAACCGCUUUCGCCUGUGACGAAGCGUGAGUGACGGUAAUGGGUCAAGAAGCACCGGCUAACUACGUG
This 468-nucleotide ribosomal RNA is filed under the name uncultured bacterium. RNAcentral's name for it is "partial 16S ribosomal RNA". It matches the Rfam family "Bacterial small subunit ribosomal RNA", at positions 28 to 507 of the family's 1533-position model. The record is from RNAcentral.